GGGGCCUGUGACGGUCCCAGGCAGGGAGAGCCACGUCGGGGUGGUGGUCGCCCCCAGCGCCCUGAACCUGCGAAGGCCCAGUGUAGGGGUGAGCGCGCACCGGCUGGGGGGACGUUGGAGAAGCCAAGCAGAGGCAGCCGGGAGCGCCUUCCUGCCCUCCCGGUGGAGGGGGACGCGGCAGGGACAGGCGGGCGGCCAGCCGGCUUCAGGACGCUUGACAAGGGUUUUGGCUGAGGGUGCGCCCUGGGCUCUGGAGCGCCCAGGUGCCCCGCCACCCACGGGGGGCGUGGCAUCGGGGCGUGGCCUGGGCGUGGCCGGCACCGCCUCUUCCCUUUCCUGAGUCCAGAGGGCACCUCCUGCCCGCCACGUUUCCUUCCUGCUGGGGGGCUUCUGUUCUCCCAGACCGGGUCGGUGCUCUUUUCCCCCGGCGCCCCUCCCCCACCCAGCCCGGGCCUUGCCUGCCGCAGCCACCUUCUUCUCUGAUGCUGUGUCCUGGACUUGGUGACAAUGGCAACUUGACAAGAAGGCGAGCCUGGGCCUUUCCUGCGGCGACAUCCAGCUUCCCCCGCCCCUCCCUGGGUGGGUGCCCACCACACGCCCAGCCUGCCGCGUGCUUAUCCAGGCCCUCCAGGCCAGGCCUCCGGGUCUUAUGGAAGAAGGCCCCGUGUCUGGGCAGUGCCGUGGCUGUGAGUGAGCAUCCGGGGCCAGUCAGAUGUGCCGUCUGCGGAGGUCACUUCCAUAGUGGCCAUCAACAGCUUGGCCAAACUCGGCCGCAGGAUCUUUUCCUAUCAAUUGCAGGAUGGACUCUUCCCGCAGCCAUGCGACCUGUGGCCCGCGGUCCUGCUCCCUGAGCUGGAGGAGGCUGAACAGAACGAGCAGGUUGAGGCCUGUGGGAAGGAAGAGCCACAUCUCCUUCAUGUUUAUUACCCCCUCCGCAGGCCAUAGCUAGGAGGCCUUGAAGGUUUUUUUAAGGGGGAAAGGGGGUUUCCAGAACCGCAGCCGGCUCAGCAGAAAGUCUCCACCAACAGAAUCUGUGGGCGCACAUUCCUCAACAGCUGAAGAAGGGGCUGGAGGGGCUCAUGGCAUCCCCUCCAGAGGCAGGCCCAGGGCCCUGUGUGCAGUGGGGGGUCCUGCAUCUGCAUUGUUGUUAAGAAAGUGACAUUUGGCUACACGGAGUGGCUCAUGCCUGUAAUCCCAGCACUUUGGGAGGCUGAAGCUGUCAGAUUGCUUGGGCCCAGGAGUUCGAGAUCAGCCUGGGCAACUUGGUGAAACCUCAUUUCUUUUUUUUGAGACAGGGUCUCACUCUGUAGCCAAGACUGGAGUGCAGUGGCACAAUCUCGGCUCACCGCAACCCCCACUUCCCAGGCUCAAGUGAUUCUCCUGCCUCAGCCUCCCGAGUAGCUGGGAUUACAGGUGUGCACCACCACGCCUGACUAAUUUUUGUAUUGUUAGUAGAGAUGGGGUUUCACCAUGUUGGCCAGGUUGGUGUUGAACUCCUGACUUCAAGUGAUCCACCUGCCUCGGCCUCCCAAAGUGCUGGGAUUACAGGGCUGAGCCACUGCGCCCGGACUUUUUUUUUUUUUUUUGAGAUGGAGUUUCGCUCUGUCACCCAGGCUGGAGUGUGGUGGCACGAUCUCGGCUCACUGCAACCUCCACCUCCCAGGGUCAAGUGAUUCUCCUGGGUCAGCCUCCGGAGUAGCUGGGAUUACAGGAAGUCUUUCUUGAUGCUCUUGCGUCUGGGGCUGACCCAAUACUGCCCAUCCCAUGUGGUCAUUGCUGGCUUACAGUUUUUCUUCCCAGGGUCUCCCCAAGAGCUGCUUCCUUUGACUCCUGCUGUGUGUAGUUCUGCUGACAAUGACCUGGACAGCUCUGCGCCAUGCACAGCGUCUUUUCUCCGACUUACCACAUUUUAGACACUACUGACUCCUCCAUGUGAAAGAUGGGAAUUCAGCUACAUCACAUUACCCUACAAACUUUAUUGUUAAUAUUUCUUCCUGGUCAGCCCCAAACACUGAAUAUAAAUACGGUCCAACAUCAACCUGCAAACGAACACUGACAUGAAAGUGCGGUUGGAAAGGAUCUCGCAAAGGAACAGAAUCUUGUGAUCCUAAUCGUAAUAAACGUAAUCGCCGGGUAUUGAGAGCUUGCAGGUACCAGGGCUCCGGCACUAUGUGUUUCACAGGGGCCACUCGGUAGACCUCUUGGUGACCUUGAGGUCAGGUACCACGUUCCCAUUUUACAGAGGAGGAAACUGAGAUAUCCUACGACAGCGAAAAGGUAGCAGAGCUGGGACUGGUGCCCAGGCUCGCCGAGUGGAAAAGCCCUCGGCCACCGUGGAGAGCUCGCUUCUUGUGGUCUGAAGCGUCGCCCCUGCACCGGCUUCUGCUGCCAAGGAUGGCUUUUCCUCACCGGUGCCCACCUACGCUCACUCGUGUCAUGUGGUUAAGCCCUUUUGGCAACAUAAGACCUUUCCCAAGAAUGUGCCUCGGUGCAGAGGAAGACGGUGGGGGCAGGCCCCCUCCCCAGGAUGCUCCACCCUCCCUGACCUCACACGGGUGCAACCUGGGCCGUGGCCGAGACCUGCUGUGCGGCAGACAAUGGGAAGCCUGUGUGUCGUCCUGGGUGCCGGAAGUAGACAAUAUUUAGCUUUCCCUUGGUGGAAAAGCCUUUCCCCUCCUGCUUUGGGCAGGAACUGGUUCCUGUUGGGCGGGGCCUGGCUGCUGCCCCACCCCCACCCGGCCGGGCACCUUGACUGGCAGCUCUCCGGGCUGCUCCCUGCCUGUGUCCCUGAGCACUGACUCCAGAGGUUUAAUCAUUAACGGGCACGUUUGGCCUUUGGUCGUGGGCUGGAAUUUGGGACCUGUGCCCGGGAACAAUGAUCUCCGACACAUUAUUUUGUGUAAAAUCACUUUUAGCUGCCAUUAGCUAAUAAAGCUGGAAUAAAGUGAGGUCCAUUAACCAGCA
Long non-coding RNA from Pan troglodytes (chimpanzee), 2964 nucleotides. RefSeq lists it as uncharacterized. The record is from RefSeq and is a predicted model, not a curated record. The transcript is spliced from 4 exons. NCBI's taxonomy places the organism in Eukaryota, Metazoa, Chordata, Mammalia, Primates, Hominidae.